This 836-nucleotide ribosomal RNA is filed under the name Massilia sp. Its description in RNAcentral is "bacterial SSU rRNA". It matches the Rfam family "Bacterial small subunit ribosomal RNA", at positions 43 to 877 of the family's 1533-position model. Lineage: Bacteria; Pseudomonadati; Pseudomonadota; Betaproteobacteria; Burkholderiales; Oxalobacteraceae. The record is from RNAcentral.
CAUGCCUUACACAUGCAAGUCGAACGGCAGCGCGGGGCAACCUGGCGGCGAGUGGCGAACGGGUGAGUAAUAUAUCGGAACGUACCCUGGAGUGGGGGAUAACGUAGCGAAAGUUACGCUAAUACCGCAUACGAUCCAAGGAUGAAAGCAGGGGACCGCAAGGCCUUGUGCUCCUGGAGCGGCCGAUAUCUGAUUAGCUAGUUGGUGGGGUAAAGGCCUACCAAGGCAACGAUCAGUAGCUGGUCUGAGAGGACGACCAGCCACACUGGAACUGAGACACGGUCCAGACUCCUACGGGAGGCAGCAGUGGGGAAUUUUGGACAAUGGGGGCAACCCUGAUCCAGCAAUGCCGCGUGAGUGAAGAAGGCCUUCGGGUUGUAAAGCUCUUUUGUCAGGGAAGAAACGGCUGUGGCUAAUAUCCACGGCUAAUGACGGUACCUGAAGAAUAAGCACCGGCUAACUACGUGCCAGCAGCCGCGGUAAUACGUAGGGUGCAAGCGUUAAUCGGAAUUACUGGGCGUAAAGCGUGCGCAGGCGGUUUUGUAAGUCUGACGUGAAAUCCCCGGGCUUAACCUGGGAAUUGCGUUGGAGACUGCAAGGCUGGAAUCUGGCAGAGGGGGGUAGAAUUCCACGUGUAGCAGUGAAAUGCGUAGAUAUGUGGAGGAACACCGAUGGCGAAGGCAGCCCCCUGGGCUAAGAUUGACGCUCAUGCACGAAAGCGUGGGGAGCAAACAGGAUUAGAUACCCUGGUAGUCCACGCCCUAAACGAUGUCUACUAGUUGUCGGGUCUUAAUUGACUUGGUAACGCAGCUAACGCGUGAAGUAGACCGCAUGGG